This 587-nucleotide ribosomal RNA is filed under the name uncultured Methanomicrobiaceae archaeon. Its description in RNAcentral is "bacterial SSU rRNA". It matches the Rfam family "Archaeal small subunit ribosomal RNA", at positions 429 to 1015 of the family's 1478-position model. Lineage: Archaea; Methanobacteriati; Methanobacteriota; Methanomicrobia; Methanomicrobiales; Methanomicrobiaceae. The record is from RNAcentral.
CGUGAAGAAAGGGCCGGGCAAGACCGGUGCCAGCCGCCGCGGUAAUACCGGCGGCUCGAGUGGUGGCCACUAUUACUGGGCUUAAAGAGUUCGUAGCUGGUCUGUUAAGUCUCUGGGGAAAUCUACUGGCUUAACCAAUAGGCGUCUCAGGGAUACUGGCAGACUAGGGACCGGGAGAGGUGAGAGGUACUCCAGGGGUAGGAGUGAAAUCCUGUAAUCCUUGGGGGACCACCUGUGGCGAAGGCGUCUCACCAGAACGGCUCCGACAGUGAGGGACGAAAGCUGGGGGAGCAAACCGGAUUAGAUACCCGGGUAGUCCCAGCUGUAAACGAUGCGCGUUAGGUGUAUCGAUGACCACGAGUCAUCGAGGUGCCGAAGAGAAAUCGUGAAACGUGCCGCCUGGGAAGUACGGUCGCAAGGCUGAAACUUAAAGGAAUUGGCGGGGGAGCACCACAACAGGUGGAGCCUGCGGUUUAAUCGGACUCAACGCCGGAAAUCUCACCGGAUAAGACAGCUGUAUGAUAGUCGGGCUGAAGACUCUACUUGACUAGCUGAGAGGAGGUGCAUGGCCGUCGUCAGUUCGUAUG